GGAUGAACGCUAGCUACAGGCUUAACACAUGCAAGUCGAGGGGCAGCAUGGUCUUAGCUUGCUAAGGCCGAUGGCGACCGGCGCACGGGUGAGUAACACGUAUCCAACCUGCCGUCUACUCUUGGACAGCCUUCUGAAAGGAAGAUUAAUACAAGAUGGCAUCAUGAGUCCGCAUGUUCACAUGAUUAAAGGUAUUCCGGUAGACGAUGGGGAUGCGUUCCAUUAGAUAGUAGGCGGGGUAACGGCCCACCUAGUCUUCGAUGGAUAGGGGUUCUGAGAGGAAGGUCCCCCACAUUGGAACUGAGACACGGUCCAAACUCCUACGGGAGGCAGCAGUGAGGAAUAUUGGUCAAUGGGCGAGAGCCUGAACCAGCCAAGUAGCGUGAAGGAUGACUGCCCUAUGGGUUGUAAACUUCUUUUAUAAAGGAAUAAAGUCGGGUAUGGAUACCCGUUUGCAUGUACUUUAUGAAUAAGGAUCGGCUAACUCCGUGCCAGCAGCCGCGGUAAUACGGAGGAUCCGAGCGUUAUCCGGAUUUAUUGGGUUUAAAGGGAGCGUAGAUGGAUGUUUAAGUCAGUUGUGAAAGUUUGCGGCUCAACCGUAAAAUUGCAGUUGAUACUGGAUAUCUUGAGUGCAGUUGAGGCAGGCGGAAUUCGUGGUGUAGCGGUGAAAUGCUUAGAUAUCACGAAGAACUCCGAUUGCGAAGGCAGCCUGCUAAGCUGCAACUGACAUUGAGGCUCGAAAGUGUGGGUAUCAAACAGGAUUAGAUACCCUGGUAGUCCACACGGUAAACGAUGAAUACUCGCUGUUUGCGAUAUACAGCAAGCGGUCAAGCGAAAGCGUUAAGUAUUCCCACCUGGGGAGUACGCCGGCAACGGUGAAACUCAAAGGAAUUGACGGGGGCCCGCACAAGCGGAGGAACAUGUGGUUUAAUUCGAUGAUACGCGAGGAACCUUACCCGGGCUUAAAUUGCAGAUGAAUUACGGUGAAAGCCGUAAGCCGCAAGGCAUCUGUGAAGGUGCUGCAUGGUUGUCGUCAGCUCGUGCCGUGAGGUGUCGGCUUAAGUGCCAUAACGAGCGCAACCCUUGUUGUCAGUUACUAACAGGUUCCGCUGAGGACUCUGACAAGACUGCCAUCGUAAGAUGUGAGGAAGGUGGGGAUGAUGUCAAAUCAGCAUGGCCCUUACGUCCGGGGCUACACACGUGUUACAAUGGGGGGUACAGAGGUCCGAUACCACGCGAGUGGAUGCCAAUCCCCAAAACCUCUCUCAGUUCGGACUGGAGUCUGCAACCCGACUCCACGAAGCUGGAUUCGAUAGUAAUCGCGCAUCAGCCACGGCGCGGUGAAUACGUUCCCGGGCCUGGUACACACCCCCUGUCAAGCCAUGGGAGCCGGGGGUACCUGAAGUGCGUAACCGCGAGGAGCGCCCUAGGGUAAAACU
RNAcentral lists this ribosomal RNA (1439 nucleotides) under uncultured organism. RNAcentral's name for it is "SSU rRNA". It matches the Rfam family "Bacterial small subunit ribosomal RNA". The record is from RNAcentral.